This 484-nucleotide ribosomal RNA is filed under the name uncultured bacterium. Its description in RNAcentral is "partial 16S ribosomal RNA". It matches the Rfam family "Bacterial small subunit ribosomal RNA", at positions 30 to 507 of the family's 1533-position model. The record is from RNAcentral.
AUUGAACGCUGGCGGCAGACCUAACACAUGCAAGUCGAGCGGAUGAAGGGAGCUUGCUCCUGGAUUCAGCGGCGGACGGGUGAGUAAUGCCUAGGAAUCUGCCUGGUAGUGGGGGAUAACGUCCGGAAACGGGCGCUAAUACCGCAUACGUCCUGAGGGAGAAAGUGGGGGAUCUUCGGACCUCACGCUAUCAGAUGAGCCUAGGUCGGAUUAGCUAGUUGGUGGGGUAAAGGCCUACCAAGGCGACGAUCCGUAACUGGUCUGAGAGGAUGAUCAGUCACACUGGAACUGAGACACGGUCCAGACUCCUACGGGAGGCAGCAGUGGGGAAUAUUGGACAAUGGGCGAAAGCCUGAUCCAGCCAUGCCGCGUGUGUGAAGAAGGUCUUCGGAUUGUAAAGCACUUUAAGUUGGGAGGAAGGGCAGUAAGUUAAUACCUUGCUGUUUUGACGUUACCAACAGAAUAAGCACCGGCUAACUUCGUG